CCUACGGGAGGCAGCAGUAGGGAAUCUUUCACAAUGGGCGAAAGCCUGAUGGAGCAACGCCGCGUGCAGGAUGAAGGCCUUCGGGUUGUAAACUGCUUUUAUAAGCGAGAAAUAUGAUGGUAACUUAUGAAUAAGGAUCGGCUAACUACGUGCCAGCAGCCGCGGUCAUACGUAGGAUCCGAGCAUUAUCCGGAGUGACUGGGUGUAAAGAGUUGCGUAGGGGGCAUAAUAAGUAGCUAGUGAAAUCUGGUGGCUCAACCAUUCAGACUAUUAGCUAAACUGUUAAGCUCGAGACCGUUAGGGGUAACUGGAAUUUCUAGUGUAGGGGUGAAAUGCGUAGAUAUUAGAAGGAACACCAAUGGCGUAGGCAGGUUACUGGGACGGUGCUGACACUGAGGCACGAAAGCGUAGGGAGCAAACGGGAUUAGAUACCCGGGUAGUC
This 442-nucleotide ribosomal RNA is filed under the name uncultured bacterium. RNAcentral's name for it is "partial 16S ribosomal RNA". It matches the Rfam family "Bacterial small subunit ribosomal RNA", at positions 338 to 795 of the family's 1533-position model. The record is from RNAcentral.